UGGGGAAUAUUGGGCAAUGGGAGAAACCCUGACCCAGCAACGCCGCGUGAAGGAAGAAGGCUUUCGGGUUGUAAACUUCUUUUAAGUGUGACGAUAAUGACGGUAGCACUUGAAUAAGCCACGGCUAACUACGUGCCAGCAGCCGCGGUAAUACGUAGGUGGCAAGCGUUGUCCGGAUUUACUGGGUGUAAAGGGCGUGUAGGCGGGAUCGCAAGUCAGGAGUGAAAUGCAUGGGCUUAACCCAUGAAUUGCUUUUGAAACUGCGGUUCUUGAGUAUCGGAGAGGCAGGCGGAAUUCCGUGUGUAGCGGUGGAAUGCGUAGAUAUACGGAAGAACACCAGUGGCGAAGGCGGCCUGCUGGACGACAACUGACGCUGAGGCGCGAAAGCGUGGGGAGCAAACAGG
This 404-nucleotide ribosomal RNA is filed under the name uncultured prokaryote. Its description in RNAcentral is "bacterial SSU rRNA". It matches the Rfam family "Bacterial small subunit ribosomal RNA", at positions 355 to 776 of the family's 1533-position model. RNAcentral also lists the same sequence under 1 other name. The record is from RNAcentral.